GAUGAACGCUGGCGGCGUGCCUAAUACAUGCAAGUCGAGCGAACGGACGAGAAGCUUGCUUCUCUGAUGUUAGCGGCGGACGGGUGAGUAACACGUGGAUAACCUACCUAUAAGACUGGGAUAACUUCGGGAAACCGGAGCUAAUACCGGAUAAUAUUUUGAACCGCAUGGUUCAAAAGUGAAAGACGGUCUUUCUGUCACUUACAGAUGGAUCCGCGCUGCAUUAGCUAGUUGGUAAGGUAACGGCUUACCAAGGCAACGAUGCAUAGCCGAACUGAGAGGGUGAUCGGCCACACGGGAACUGAGACACGGACCAGACUCCUACGGGAGGCAGCAGUCGGGAAUCUUACGCAAUGGGCGAAAGCCUGACGGAGCAACGCCGCGUGAGUGAUGAAGGUCUUCGGAUCGUAAAACUCUGUUAUUAGGGAAGAACAUAUGUGUAAGUAACUGUGCACAUCUUGACGGUACCUAAUCAGAAAGCCACGGCUAACUACGUG
Molecule: ribosomal RNA, 497 nt
Filed under: uncultured bacterium
Lineage: Bacteria
Description: partial 16S ribosomal RNA
Rfam family: Bacterial small subunit ribosomal RNA
Source: RNAcentral